UCUUCCUAUCUCAAUCACCAUUUUUAUAUUAGGGCAGAGAGAGAGAGAGAGAGAGAGAAAAGAGAUCUUAAGAAUUAAUUCAUAAGUAAGAGGGUGAAAAAUUGGAAAAGACCACAGUAUGGAACUAUUAUUAAAAGUCUGUGAUCUAGUAGGGUGUCCAGGGCCAUGCCAUUUGGAGUACAUAUUGGAAACUGUUUGAGGGCAGAGGCUAUGCCUUGUAGUUUUUUUUACAAAUGUAUGUCCAUUUGUAAAUGUUCAGAUGACAGAUGAAAAUAAGUUGGGCUCUGAAGAGUGUAUCUCCCAUAGAGGAGGUUGGUAAACACGAACCUGACCUGUUUUCCCUAGAGCUGACCUUAUUGUAAGAUUGAAGAGCUCAGAGACAAAUUAUAUCAGCCCUCUUUUGACUGCAGGUAACAGAAAAACCAACUAAAAGUGGUUUAAACAAUGAGAAUAUUUAUUUUAAUACAUAAUAAAAAGUCAAGAAGUAGGUAGUUCCAUUAAAAACUCAAUUCCUUUACCACUCUCUUUAAGAGCAAAGAAACUUUCCCAGAGCCUCCCAGCUGACUCCCUUUUAUGUCGUAUUGGCCAUUAUUCUAUCAUUUGCUCUACCUGAGCAGUCACUCGUAAAAGUAAUUUGACCACCUUGACUGCAUUUAGCUAGUUAUGGUUGGUGCUGAGGCCUACCUUCAAAGGAAAAGGCCCCUCCCAGGAAGAUAAACAAAAUCUAGAUCUUAUUAAAAUAAAGAGGAAGAAGUGGAAUUAGAGAAAGGCUGUUAGGUAGCUAAACAGCAAUAACUAUUAUACAAACAAAUAAAUCAUAGUCAUGUCUUGGUUACUCCAAGGAUGCUUUCUGUUUAUUGAUGUUUGACAAAGUUAAAAUGUAAGGAUUUAUGAUUAAAACAAUAACUACAAUGUUUAAUGCAUUUAUGUUUAUCUCAUUGACAUUUACACUGCCAAAUGACUUUUAAAAUCUGUGGAUUAUAAGGAAUUUAAAGUAAAACCCUAUCCUAUUUGAUUAUUAAAAUGUCUGCACCCUGAGGGAUAUAUAAUCCUACAGAUUUCUUGGCUUCAGGAUUCAGAAGCAAAAGCACAAGU
Non-coding RNA from Vicugna pacos (alpaca), 1095 nucleotides. Lineage: Eukaryota; Metazoa; Chordata; Mammalia; Artiodactyla; Camelidae. The record is from RefSeq and is a predicted model, not a curated record.